GGCUUCAUAGCUCAGUGGUUAGAGCACUGGUCUUGUAAACCAGGGGUUGUUUGUUCAACUCUCAUGGGCUU
This is a non-coding RNA of Ameiurus melas (black bullhead), 71 nucleotides long. The record is from the annotation of a GenBank genome assembly. Lineage: Eukaryota; Metazoa; Chordata; Actinopteri; Siluriformes; Ictaluridae.